UACGUAGGGGGCAAGCGUUGUCCGGAUUUAUUGGGCGUAAAGCGCGUGUAGGCGGCCACGCAGGUCCGCUGUGAAAACUCGAGGCUCAACCUCGAGCUGUCGGUGGAAACCGCGUGGCUAGAGUCCGGAAGAGGAGAGUGGAAUUCCCGGUGUAGCGGUGAAAUGCGCAGAUAUCGGGAAGAACACCUAUGGCGAAGGCAGCUCUCUGGGACGGUACUGACGCUGAGACGCGAAAGCGUGGGGAGCGAACAGG
RNAcentral lists this ribosomal RNA (253 nucleotides) under uncultured bacterium. RNAcentral's name for it is "partial 16S ribosomal RNA". It matches the Rfam family "Bacterial small subunit ribosomal RNA", at positions 524 to 776 of the family's 1533-position model. The record is from RNAcentral.